AUUGAACGCUGGCGGCAGGCCUAACACAUGCAAGUCGAACGAGUGGCGGACGGGUGAGUAAUGUCUGGGAAACUGCCUGAUGGAGGGGGAUAACUACUGGAAACGGUAGCUAAUACCGCAUACCAUCAGAUGUGCCCAGAUGGGAUUAGCUAGUUGGUGGGGUAACGGCUCACCAAGGGGACGAUCCCUAGCUGGUCUGAGAGGAUGACCAGACACACUGGAACUGGGACACGGUCCAGACUCCGCCGUGAGGCAGCAGUGGGGAAUAUUGCACAAUGGGCGCAAUCCUGAUGAAGCCAGGCCGGGGGUAUGAAGAAGGCCUUCGGGUUGUAAAGUACUUUCAGCGGGGAGGCGUUACCCGCAGAAGAAGCACCGGCUAACUCCGUGCCAGCAGCCGCGGUAAUUC
This 406-nucleotide ribosomal RNA is filed under the name uncultured bacterium. Its description in RNAcentral is "partial 16S ribosomal RNA". It matches the Rfam family "Bacterial small subunit ribosomal RNA", at positions 30 to 526 of the family's 1533-position model. The record is from RNAcentral.